UACGAACUGUGCGAACGUUAUUCGGAAUCACUGGGCUUAAAGGGUGCGUAGGCGGUUUUCUAAGUCACGUGUGAAAUCUUCCGGCUCAACCGGAAAACUGCGCGUGAUACUGGAUGACUUGAGUGAGGUAGGGGUGUGUGGAACUUCCGGUGGAGCGGUGAAAUGUGUAGAGAUCGGAAGGAACGCCAGCAGCGAAAGCGGCACACUGGGCCUUUUCUGACGCUGAGGCACGAAAGCUAGGGGAGUGAACGGG
Molecule: ribosomal RNA, 253 nt
Filed under: uncultured Planctomyces sp.
Lineage: Bacteria; Pseudomonadati; Planctomycetota; Planctomycetia; Planctomycetales; Planctomycetaceae
Description: partial 16S ribosomal RNA
Rfam family: Bacterial small subunit ribosomal RNA
Source: RNAcentral